This 391-nucleotide ribosomal RNA is filed under the name uncultured Alphaproteobacteria bacterium. RNAcentral describes it as "bacterial SSU rRNA". It matches the Rfam family "Bacterial small subunit ribosomal RNA", at positions 9 to 426 of the family's 1533-position model. Lineage: Bacteria; Pseudomonadati; Pseudomonadota; Alphaproteobacteria. The record is from RNAcentral.
GAGUUUGAUCAUGGCUCAGAACGAACGCUGGCGGCAGGCUUAACACAUGCAAGUCGAACGCGUGUAGCAAUACACGAGUGGCGCACGGGUGAGUAACACGUGGAUAUCUGCCUUUUGGUUCGGAAUAACCCUGGGAAACUAGGGCUAAUACCGGAUGGUUCCUACGGGAUAAAGAUUUAUCGCCAAAAGAUGAGUCCGCGUCCGAUUAGCUAGUUGGUGAGGUAAUGGCUCACCAAGGCGACGAUCGGUAGCUGGUCUGAGAGGACGAUCAGCCACACUGGGACUGAGACACGGCCCAGACUCCUACGGGAGGCAGCAGUGGGGAAUAUUGGACAAUGGGGGCAACCCUGAUCCAGCCAUGCCGCGUGAGUGAUGAAGGCCUUCGGGUUGU